GGUAUUGACGGGGGCCCGCACAAGCGGUGGAGCAUGUGGUUUAAUUCGAAGCAACGCGAAGAACCUUACCAGGUCUUGACAUCCCCUGACAACCCAAGAGAUUGGGCGUUCCCCCUUCGGGGGGGACAGGGUGACAGGUGGUGCAUGGUUGUCGUCAGCUCGUGUCGUGAGAUGUUGGGUUAAGUCCCGCAACGAGCGCAACCCUUGCCUCUAGUUGCCAGCAUUCAGUUGGGCACUCUAGAGGG
This 245-nucleotide ribosomal RNA is filed under the name Geobacillus thermodenitrificans. RNAcentral describes it as "partial 16S ribosomal RNA". It matches the Rfam family "Bacterial small subunit ribosomal RNA", at positions 906 to 1147 of the family's 1533-position model. The record is from RNAcentral. Lineage: Bacteria; Bacillati; Bacillota; Bacilli; Caryophanales; Anoxybacillaceae.